GCCUCCUUAGCUCAGUUGGUAGAGCAGAUCACUCUUAAUGAUAAGGUCGUAGGUUCGAGGCCUACAGGGGGCA
This 73-nucleotide transfer RNA is filed under the name Candidatus Campylobacter infans. It matches the Rfam family "tRNA". Rfam says of the family: Transfer RNA (tRNA) molecules are approximately 80 nucleotides in length. The record is from Rfam by way of RNAcentral. Lineage: Bacteria; Pseudomonadati; Campylobacterota; Epsilonproteobacteria; Campylobacterales; Campylobacteraceae.